CUAAAUAGUAUAGUAAACUGUAAACCUAAACCUAAAUGAUAUUACAAUUUACUUCUGAAGCCGCCGCGUACACCAGACCAGUUCUUCUUCCUUUCCCCUUCAAUUUUUAUACUCUCUGCCUCUUGCCUCCUUCAUCUGUCUCUUCUCUAGCCUAUCAAUAAGUAAACAACCCACACUUCUUGCCCCCUUCAUCUGUCUCUUUGAGAUGUGACCAGGUUGUUGACCAUGGAAGAUGCGUACUAUAAAGAGGAAAUGGGAGUUGUAGUUAACAAUAUGCUUUCAGAGGCCCACAUGCUAGGUGAAGGAAUUGUUGGCCAAGCUGCUUCCACUGGAAAGCACCAGUGGAUUUUCUCAGAUGCUAGUGAUGGAGGCUAGAAUUCUGCUGCCUCUAUUGGAGGUCAGGAUAUAUUCCAGACAAUUACAGUAAUCUCCGUGGAAUCACAAGGACUUGUACAAUUUGGAUCCACCCAGAAGGGGAGCACAUUGAAAGCAGACCGAGUAAAUUUAACUAAAUUUCCGACUUGCCUUCAUCUUUGAACUGUGAAAGUUAUGAAAGAAGGCUAACUGCAAAUUACAGUUUGCUUUAAAUUUUAAAGAA
Populus nigra (black poplar) is the source of this 598-nucleotide long non-coding RNA. RefSeq lists it as uncharacterized. NCBI's taxonomy places the organism in Eukaryota, Viridiplantae, Streptophyta, Magnoliopsida, Malpighiales, Salicaceae. The transcript is spliced from 3 exons. The record is from RefSeq and is a predicted model, not a curated record.